RNAcentral lists this ribosomal RNA (253 nucleotides) under uncultured bacterium. RNAcentral describes it as "partial 16S ribosomal RNA". It matches the Rfam family "Bacterial small subunit ribosomal RNA", at positions 524 to 776 of the family's 1533-position model. The record is from RNAcentral.
GACGUACUGCGCGAACGUUAUUCGGAAUCACUGGGCUUAAAGGGUGCGCAGGCGGCUCGUCAAGUCCGUGGUGAAAGGCCCCGGCCCAACCGGGGACGGUCUUCGGGGACUGACGAGCUCGGGCGAGCUAGGGGUCUGUGGAAUUCCCGGUGUAGAGGUGAAAUUCGUAGAUAUCGGGAGGAACACCAGUGGCGAAGGCGGCGACCUGGACGGACAUUGACGCUGAGGAGCGAAAGCGUGGGGAGCAAACAGG